GGAAUAUAAGAACCUGACUCUUAACUUUUAACUAAAAAAACUAAGAACCGGUUCUUAAGUAAGAGUUUUAAGAGACGGUUCUUAGUUUUUUUAGUUAAAAGUUAAGAGUCAGGUUCUUAUAUUCC
Molecule: microRNA precursor, 125 nt
Filed under: Brassica napus (rape)
Lineage: Eukaryota; Viridiplantae; Streptophyta; Magnoliopsida; Brassicales; Brassicaceae
Description: MIR9563 microRNA precursor family
Rfam family: MIR9563 microRNA precursor family
Source: Rfam by way of RNAcentral